Molecule: long non-coding RNA, 1068 nt
Filed under: Pogona vitticeps (central bearded dragon)
Lineage: Eukaryota; Metazoa; Chordata; Lepidosauria; Squamata; Agamidae
Description: lncRNA (ENSPVIG00000016440.1)
Source: RNAcentral
CAACUUAAUCACUAGAGGGAAAAAAUGGGCACCUCAACAUUUUAAAGCCCGCAAAGGAGUCAUGUUUCUGAAUACAAGAGUCCUUGUGCUGUACGUGUAUCCUGUUUGAUGGGUUUAGUCAUGCUAAGAUUUAGCAUGUCUCAAGCUUCACUGUCUCAUUAAUUACCCUUCUACAGCCUCAAGACAGAUACAUGGCUGACUCUGAUCAUUCAGUCAUUCUUAUGGUUCAAAUCCCCCCCCCAUAAGAUGGGGGAACAGCAGUAGCAUCACCCCCUCUGCUGUCAUUUUUCAUCUAUGAAAGUGGCACUCUGAAGAGGGUGGAGGCUGUUUUAACUACUGUAUUUGCUAGCAUAUAAGACGACUGGGCCUAUAAGACAACCCCAACAUUUCCACUCAAAAUAUAGCAUUCGUUAUAUACUCGCCGUAUAAGACUACCCUUCCCUCUGCCUUUUACCCCACCGGAGGGGCCAAAGAGGGAGGAGAAGGAAAGCAGGGGUGGGCUACCAGCUGGCCCGAGGUAGAGGCCAGCGCCUGCUUGCUCGCCCAGCCUCCGGAAGUCUCCUCAGGAACCCAGCAUGGCCGCAGCACUGGCAACGAAUGGGGUGGUGCUGGCUUGUCGCAGGCGCCAUUUGCUUGCCAGCUUCUCUCUGCCUGGACAACAUGGUGGUUUGGUUGCCAGUUGAUACACACAGAUGAAGCAGGAGAGGAGACCCACCAAUGUAGUCCAGCUGGAAUUCUGUUAGUGAUUUACACAUGCAAAAAUUAAAUAAUGUAAGUUGCAAAUUGCUUAUAAUUAAUAGUGUGGUAGUUGCAUGAUGGGCAUGUGACUGGGAAUACAACCUGCGUCUCAUUAACCAUCAGCAAUUCACCAUUGCAACUUCCACAGUUUCAUUUACCUAUGCAAGCAUCACCUAUAGAAUUCAGGCCCUUAUUCUGUGCUCUUCUACAUAAGAGAGGGCUUUUGCUUUUUCAUUAUGAAGUUGAAACCAUUUGACAAAUUUGUGUGUGUUGUGCGGGGGAGGGGUGGUUAGGAAGAACAUCCUGACCUCUUGAGGCAUAAUGGCUCCA